UGAUGGCCAUAUCAUGUUUAAACACAGAUUCUUGUACGAUCAGCGAAGUUUAGCAGCGUCAAGCCUGGUCAGUACCUGGAUGGGUGACCACUAGGGAAUACCAGGUGCUGUAAG
Molecule: non-coding RNA, 114 nt
Organism: Acanthosepion pharaonis
Lineage: Eukaryota; Metazoa; Mollusca; Cephalopoda; Sepiida; Sepiidae
Source: the annotation of a GenBank genome assembly